UACGAAGGGUGCAAGCGUUACUCGGAAUUACUGGGCGUAAAGCGUGCGCAGGCGGUUCCGCAAGUCAGAUGUGAAAUCCCCGGGCUCAACCUGGGAACUGCAUUUGAAACUACGGAGCUAGAGUGUGUCAGAGGGGGGUGGAAUUCCACGUGUAGCAGUGAAAUGCGUAGAGAUGUGGAGGAACACCAAUGGCGAAGGCAGCCCCCCUGGGCUAACACUGACGCUCAUGCACGAAAGCGUGGGGAGCAAACAGGG
Molecule: ribosomal RNA, 255 nt
Filed under: uncultured bacterium
Lineage: Bacteria
Description: partial 16S ribosomal RNA
Rfam family: Bacterial small subunit ribosomal RNA
Source: RNAcentral